GGGGUUGUAGCUUAGUGGUAGAGCACUCACCUAGCACAUGUGAGGCACUGGAUUCGAUCCUCAGCACCA
Molecule: transfer RNA, 69 nt
Filed under: Ictidomys tridecemlineatus (thirteen-lined ground squirrel)
Lineage: Eukaryota; Metazoa; Chordata; Mammalia; Rodentia; Sciuridae
Description: Spermophilus tridecemlineatus (thirteen-lined ground squirrel) tRNA
Rfam family: tRNA
About the family: Transfer RNA (tRNA) molecules are approximately 80 nucleotides in length. Their secondary structure includes four short double-helical elements and three loops (D, anti-codon, and T loops).
Source: Rfam by way of RNAcentral